UCAUAACAGUUUUCACUGAGCACAAUUUCUCAAUGAAGCUAAUAAUGGGGUGGAUAUUAAAUCUUUAAAAAAUUUUGAAAUUAUCAAAAUAUUUUAAUGACGACAACAUUAUUUUAAUUCAUCGUCAAUUUAUAGUUCCUCGGUAUCACUUUCCAUCCUGUUAGUCUUUCAUAAAAUCACAAAUUCUAUUUCCUCGACGACAUCACCCGACAGGAAGUGACAUCAUUUUGGAGGGAACUCAGCAGCACAAACAUCAUCAUGCACUGAACUAAAUUAAUCGAGCACAGUCAGGGAGGAAUCGGUGAACACUGCGAUGCUGGCGUGACGGGCAUCUUCGGGGGUCAGAGGUCACUGAACGCGA
This is a long non-coding RNA of Sinocyclocheilus grahami, 361 nucleotides long. RefSeq lists it as uncharacterized. The transcript has 3 exons. The record is from RefSeq and is a predicted model, not a curated record. NCBI's taxonomy places the organism in Eukaryota, Metazoa, Chordata, Actinopteri, Cypriniformes, Cyprinidae.